UGCAAUAUGGGCCGAUAGUCCCGAAUUUUUUAUUAUUAUUUUUUUUUUCCCAUAUAAUGGUCUGACCGGCUGGCCCACAAAAGUAGUUCAUCAGCGGCCCUAUUGACACUGGGCUGGCCCAAUCACAUCCCCUGGGCUGACCCAACACCCCUUUCGAUUUGGACCUGCCUACAUAAUGCAUUAGGACGGUAAACAAACUCAGCGUGGCCCAUGGCCUUGACAUUCUUGACACGCGCACGCUAGUCUGCGGCCCAUUGGCUGUCUUCUUUACUGACUAGGGGCUCGUCCAAUCAUAUCACCUUCACCUUCUAAAACACCUUCUACCUUUAGCUUGGUCGGUGCACAGAAACGCACGUUUCGUGAGAAUCCUCCAGUCCAAAAUGGAGAGAAAGAGAAAAGGGGGUGCAGAGAAACUGCGAGACAAGAAGAUGCUUGCUCUUCAAGCCAACGCUGCCAAAUGUGGCAAAAUAUCAGAAAUGUUUGCCACGGCAGGGCCAUCAGCAGCUCCCGUGGAUGACAGUGAUGCUGGUGGCGAUACGAUACAACGACCUACGGCUACUGAAGAUGUCGAAGUCCCUUUUGACUGGUUACACACCCAGUCGGAUGAACUCUACCCAUUACUGUGAUGGACGUGGAGUAUACUUUUUUUGUUAAUAAAUAACACCUUUUGGAAGUGUAUAAUGCGUCCACUCUCACUGAUUGCUUUUAACUCAUUGCAUGGCUUAAGGUAUGUGGAAAAUAGUUGCACAGUUGGAGUCAGGCUUUUAGCUAGGAUUUUUUGUACAGCACUUGAUCGUUUUUAGGUAAUAUUACAAUUACACUGAUUUAUUUAUAUGUUUAGUAAUUUAAUACAUAACAGUGAGUGUAACUGAAACUAGGUAACAAGGUACAAAAUUCAAGUAACAACUUUAACAAAAAUAAAUAACUUUCUACACAACUUUAAAGUGUAUGAUGUAUAUUGUAUUGUAUUGAAUUUAGAUUAAUUAAGACCACCACCUUAACACACAAACUCUUGUUGAACUCAUAAAGUAGUAGGUUCAGUGACGUGCGGUGAGACAGCUGUCUUCUGUAGCUUCUGCGAGCCCGUGAAUCAAUGUUUCGUUGGAAUCAUGAUGUAACGUUGUUGUAGCGGGAAUACAGCAAUGCUAUUUUCUAAUUGGCAGGGCAUAUGUAUGAUUCUAGACUUCGCUAAGCACUGAAGCGACUGAAACUGUGAAUUUUGAUCACAUUCAGCGAAGUUAACAGGUAAAACGGGAGAAAAAUAGGGCGUCUUUAGGCCGUCCUGCCUAAAAGUAGGGCAUCCCAUUUCUUCUUAUUUUUUAGUAGACUAUAGGGCAGACGCCCUGCUAGCUAAAAGCCUGGUUGGUGUAGACAUUCGAGAGACCAAAAAGACUGAAAAGGUGUGUUAUCGAAUUUAGUGGGCUGGUCUGGUUCAAAAUGCCCGGGCCGAUUUUUUGUCCCAGUCCGCCCCUGCUGUCAAC
Long non-coding RNA from Gadus chalcogrammus (walleye pollock), 1481 nucleotides. RefSeq lists it as uncharacterized. The record is from RefSeq and is a predicted model, not a curated record. The transcript is spliced from 3 exons. NCBI's taxonomy places the organism in Eukaryota, Metazoa, Chordata, Actinopteri, Gadiformes, Gadidae.